Molecule: long non-coding RNA, 2630 nt
Organism: Myotis daubentonii (Daubenton's bat)
Lineage: Eukaryota; Metazoa; Chordata; Mammalia; Chiroptera; Vespertilionidae
Source: RefSeq, a predicted model, not a curated record
GCCACUUCUCUGUGCCACUCACCCUUCCUCCCCGACGAAGGUGACGUACAGCUUAUUUCUCUGCAGGUCUUUCCGGGAGUAGCCCAUGAUCUGAUUAAAAGCAUCUUCGAGACUGGGCGCUUGCCAUUUAAUUUCCAUUUACCAUAACUAACGAGGCAAAAAGGAGUGACUUCAUGCCAUCGCUCUGUGCCAGCAACUGCUGCGUAAGAGGAGCGCUGACAGAGGGGGCACCCCACCUAUGACCUGCGAACACCGAGAGGCCCUCUGAGUGGUCGAGUCCAUCUAUCCAAGGACCACGGGCAACAUCACAGGCACAACCCUGUGCUGAGUUAAGGAAGAACGGCCCCAGGAGGUCAUGAUUGGAGCCCGAGUGCCCCUGGACAAGGAAUUGAGGUACCAAGAGCCUAGAGAGUUGACUGUGAGAACAAGAGGAAAAAAAUUCUCUGUGUCCUCCCAAGCAGAGGAGUUUACCGCUGUGCUUGACUUCAUUUUUAAAUUAAGGGAAUCUUGAGAUUCCCUAAGUGACAGAUACAAACGACUGAUACGUGUGGCCCAUGAACCCACGUGUCCUAAUGACAGUUGAAGUCAUCCCUGAGCACAUACCAAUUUGCCUGUAGUGACAAUAGCCAUGGAAAGGGAGGUAAUGUGGAGGCCAAGGCAUGAAAGCUAGGUCACGAGCUUCGUAAGAGAAACAUGAGGAGAGAAGGCUCUGAGAGGCAUGGUGUUGGACGGCUGGUGUUCUCUGAGGUGAGGGAAGUGGCCCGGCUAACUUAACCAAGUGAGCCCUCCUGGGGGGGUGGCGAGCCGUGGGCUGUGGGCUGCCCUCUGGACCCUCUCUCGGGAACCCGGAACGUGCUGGGACUGCAGUAGCGACGCUCCCUCCUGUAUCCUCUCUCAGGGGGCACGUGACCUCGGUGAGGCCCUGGCGCGGGCUGUGGGGGGGAUGAGGGCAGGAGGGCCACGUAGAGAAUGAGCAUCAUUCUGCCCACACAUCGUGAGGCCGCUUCCAUUUCCCCAUUUAAAUGGAGGUGAAGGAAGACAGGCAGGAACAAUGUUCAUGAGGUGCGCCGUCGGGCAAGUGCAGUUUAGUUCACAGAGCGACAUGCUGAGCAUGGUGCCCGCACUUGGGCGGGCUCAGGAGACAGUGCUGAGCGAUGCAGGACAUCGCGACAGCCUCAGAGCCAACGAGUCCACGCCAAGCCAACAGAGGUCCUUUUCAGGAGAAAAAGUAAAUCAGCUUGUCAUUUUUUAAAUUUUAUUAUUAUUUUUUUUAACUACAGUUUUAUUGAUGUCAGAAAGGAAGUCAGAGAGAGAGAAACAUCAAUGAUGAGAGACAGUCAUGGAUCGGCUGCCUCCAGCACGCCCCCCACUGGGGAUCGAGCCUGCACCCCGGGCCUGUGCCCUGACCGGGAAUCGAACCAUGACCUCCUGGUUCAUAGGUCGGUGCUCAACAGCUGGGCAGCUUGUACUUUUCCUUAACAUUUUUUUUACAUGGAAUGUGGUCGUUUCUUUACUGUUUGCUUUAAAACCUUAAGCGUAAUUGUGCUCAAUGCCAGAACCGUGUGAUGUAUGGUGCUGCCACGUACAGACACCAAAAUAAUUACACCGACUAAAACCAAGGUGGUCGUCCGCCGCAAACCACGCCCAGUUGCACCCCAUCCUCUCACCAUCAGCAGACCCUGUGCUGGUUUUGCUCUGACUUACUUUAAUUUCCCUGGGCCUUGUCCAUAUCCUUUAGUCUCCAACUUCCUGUAAAAGUUCCUCAGCUUGGCUUCAAAGUCUCGCUUGUAAGGGGCUGGUGCCCGGGCAUUGGCACGCUGCGUACCUACAGCAAACCACAGAGAGAGAGGUUGGCCUUGCGCAACGUCCCGGUGUGCAUCAUGUCACCAUGAACACAUAUCAUCCGAGCUGAGACCAGAGGGAACAUAUGAAAGCGGGCCAUCAAUGCGUUCAGCUCCUGCAGCUUCCCACUGUCCAGGUUAACGGCUGCACAGAGCUUACGCAAACAACACUGCCACUCGUUGCAUUCUCUUUCUUUUGCAGAACCAUGUGAAUGUAUUGACUUCUUCUAUUGUUGACACUGUUACUGAUGCCCCCCUCCCCCCCCCACCCUUGCCCACCUCCAACAGCCCCUGCGUUCCUUGGUGGCAUGCUGGUCGAAAAGAGCGAAGCCGUUUGGGUAGUUAUGAUGGUGCCAUGUGUUCGUCAAAUAUGUUCCCCUUUCAGCCCAAGCUGCUGCAAGCCAAGCUGGAUUACUCAUGCCCAGGGCUGACUGGAGGGCGGAAUAUCUUUGCUGGCUGCUGAGAUGAUAUCAUGGCAAUUAGACAGGAAGUUAUCAUGUGAAAAGUAUGCGGUGUCUACAGCAAGAGCAGUGAGUUCCUGUCCUUCACUCCAUGGAAAACCUACGAAACUUCUUUCGGAAAACUCUGGCUUUGGGUCUUAAGGUAUCCAACCGACACGCCGGGAUACAGAAUCGGUGAUGAAAAUGGGAGUCAGGGCCCUGACAAGAACACUGGAAAUUUCCACCAGAGAUUUCACAACACAAUGAGAGAAACCAGAAAACAGACAUGCUGAAGUCCUGUGCCUUACACACCAGAGUAAGCUCAUUAAGUAUUGCUUUGAUGAAUGAA